RNAcentral lists this ribosomal RNA (1554 nucleotides) under Escherichia coli. Its description in RNAcentral is "bacterial SSU rRNA". It matches the Rfam family "Bacterial small subunit ribosomal RNA". The record is from RNAcentral. Lineage: Bacteria; Pseudomonadati; Pseudomonadota; Gammaproteobacteria; Enterobacterales; Enterobacteriaceae.
AAAUUGAAGAGUUUGAUCAUGGCUCAGAUUGAACGCUGGCGGCAGGCCUAACACAUGCAAGUCGAACGGUAACAGAAAGCAGCUUGCUGCUUUGCUGACGAGUGGCGGACGGGUGAGUAAUGUCUGGGAAACUGCCUGAUGGAGGGGGAUAACUACUGGAAACGGUAGCUAAUACCGCAUAAUGUCGCAAGACCAAAGAGGGGGACCUUCGGGCCUCUUGCCAUCGGAUGUGCCCAGAUGGGAUUAGCUAGUAGGUGGGGUAAAGGCUCACCUAGGCGACGAUCCCUAGCUGGUCUGAGAGGAUGACCAGCCACACUGGAACUGAGACACGGUCCAGACUCCUACGGGAGGCAGCAGUGGGGAAUAUUGCACAAUGGGCGCAAGCCUGAUGCAGCCAUGCCGCGUGUAUGAAGAAGGCCUUCGGGUUGUAAAGUACUUUCAGCGGGGAGGAAGGGAGUAAAGUUAAUACCUUUGCUCAUUGACGUUACCCGCAGAAGAAGCACCGGCUAACUCCGUGCCAGCAGCCGCGGUAAUACGGAGGGUGCAAGCGUUAAUCGGAAUUACUGGGCGUAAAGCGCACGCAGGCGGUUUGUUAAGUCAGAUGUGAAAUCCCCGGGCUCAACCUGGGAACUGCAUCUGAUACUGGCAAGCUUGAGUCUCGUAGAGGGGGGUAGAAUUCCAGGUGUAGCGGUGAAAUGCGUAGAGAUCUGGAGGAAUACCGGUGGCGAAGGCGGCCCCCUGGACGAAGACUGACGCUCAGGUGCGAAAGCGUGGGGAGCAAACAGGAUUAGAUACCCUGGUAGUCCACGCCGUAAACGAUGUCGACUUGGAGGUUGUGCCCUUGAGGCGUGGCUUCCGGAGCUAACGCGUUAAGUCGACCGCCUGGGGAGUACGGCCGCAAGGUUAAAACUCAAAUGAAUUGACGGGGGCCCGCACAAGCGGUGGAGCAUGUGGUUUAAUUCGAUGCAACGCGAAGAACCUUACCUGGUCUUGACAUCCACGGAAGUUUUCAGAGAUGAGAAUGUGCCUUCGGGAACCGUGAGACAGGUGCUGCAUGGCUGUCGUCAGCUCGUGUUGUGAAAUGUUGGGUUAAGUCCCGCAACGAGCGCAACCCUUAUCCUUUGUUGCCAGCGGUCCGGCCGGGAACUCAAAGGAGACUGCCAGUGAUAAACUGGAGGAAGGUGGGGAUGACGUCAAGUCAUCAUGGCCCUUACGACCAGGGCUACACACGUGCUACAAUGGCGCAUACAAAGAGAAGCGACCUCGCGAGAGCAAGCGGACCUCAUAAAGUGCGUCGUAGUCCGGAUUGGAGUCUGCAACUCGACUCCAUGAAGUCGGAAUCGCUAGUAAUCGUGGAUCAGAAUGCCACGGUGAAUACGUUCCCGGGCCUUGUACACACCGCCCGUCACACCAUGGGAGUGGGUUGCAAAAGAAGUAGGUAGCUUAACCUUCGGGAGGGCGCUUACCACUUUGUGAUUCAUGACUGGGGUGAAGUCGUAACAAGGUAACCGUAGGGGAACCUGCGGUUGGAUCACCUCCUUACCUUAAAGAAGC